AGCAGAGUAGCCUAGUGGAUAAAGCAUGGUUUGGGGAGCCAGAGGACCUGGGUUAUAAUCCUGGCUCUACCA
This 72-nucleotide transfer RNA is filed under the name Ornithorhynchus anatinus (platypus). It matches the Rfam family "tRNA". Rfam says of the family: Transfer RNA (tRNA) molecules are approximately 80 nucleotides in length. Their secondary structure includes four short double-helical elements and three loops (D, anti-codon, and T loops). Further hydrogen bonds mediate the characteristic L-shaped molecular structure. tRNAs have two regions of fundamental functional importance: the anti-codon, which is responsible for specific mRNA codon recognition, and the 3' end, to which the tRNAs corresponding amino acid is attached (by aminoacyl-tRNA synthetases). tRNAs cope with the degeneracy of the genetic code in two manners: having more than one tRNA (with a specific anti-codon) for a particular amino acid; and 'wobble' base-pairing, i.e. permitting non-standard base-pairing at the 3rd anti-codon position. Lineage: Eukaryota; Metazoa; Chordata; Mammalia; Monotremata; Ornithorhynchidae. The record is from Rfam by way of RNAcentral.